This 509-nucleotide ribosomal RNA is filed under the name uncultured bacterium. RNAcentral's name for it is "bacterial SSU rRNA". It matches the Rfam family "Bacterial small subunit ribosomal RNA", at positions 28 to 528 of the family's 1533-position model. The record is from RNAcentral.
GACGAACGCUGGCGGCGUGGAUUAGGCAUGCAAGUCGAACGGUAUCAUCCUUUCGGGGGUGAGAGAGUGGCGAACUGGUGAGUAACACGUAGGUUAUCUACCCUCAAGACGGGGACAACCCAGGGAAACUUGGGCUAAUACCGGAUGUGAGCAACUUUUAGUUGUUUGAAAGGUGGCGUAAGCUGUCGCUUGGGGAUGAGCCUGCGUCCUAUUAGUUAGUUGGUGAGGUAACGGCUCACCUAGGCAAUGAUAGGUAGGCGGCCUUAACGGGUGGUCGCCCACACUGGGAUUGAGAUACGGCCCAGACUCCUACGGGAGGCAGCAGUCGAGAAUAGUCUACAAUGGUCGGAAGACUGAUAGUGCGACGCCGCGUGAACGAUGAAUCCCUUCGGGGUGUAAAGUUCUUUUAUAUGUGAGCAGUGCUUCUUAUAUUAACAGUAUGGGGAGAGAGAUAUUAGCAUAUGAAUAAGCAACGGCUAACUUCGUGCCAGCAGCCGCGGUAAACUCGU